GACGAACGCUGGCGGCGUGCUUAACACAUGCAAGUCGAACGGAAAGGCCUGCUUUCCCUUGUGGAUUGCGGGUACUCGAGUGGCGAACGGGUGAGUAACACGUGAGUGAUCUGCCCCCAACUUGGGUAUAAGCCUGGGAAACUGGGUCUAAUUCCCGAUAGGACUGCAGGGUGGUGCCUGUGGUGGAAAACGAUUUUCUAGUGGUUGGGGAUGAGCUCGCGGCCUAUCAGCUUGUUGGUGGGGUAAUGGCCUACCAAGGCGGCGACGGGUAGCCGGCCUGAGAGGGUGGACGGCCACAUUGGGACUGGGAUACGGCCCAGACUGCUACGGGAGGCAGCAGUGGGGAAUAUUGCACAAUGGGCGGAAGCCUGAUGCAGCGACGCCGCGUGGGGGAUGACGGCCUUCGGGUUGUAAACUCCUUUCGACCGCGAGGAAGCCACCUGGUUGGAAGGGUGGUGACGGUAGUGGUAGAAGAAGCACCGGCUAACUACGUG
RNAcentral lists this ribosomal RNA (494 nucleotides) under uncultured bacterium. RNAcentral's name for it is "partial 16S ribosomal RNA". It matches the Rfam family "Bacterial small subunit ribosomal RNA", at positions 28 to 507 of the family's 1533-position model. The record is from RNAcentral.